Molecule: transfer RNA, 71 nt
Filed under: Alauda arvensis (Eurasian skylark)
Lineage: Eukaryota; Metazoa; Chordata; Aves; Passeriformes; Alaudidae
Description: tRNA-Glu
Source: RNAcentral
GUUCCUGUAGUUAAAGUCUAUAACGGCGGCUUUUCAGGUCGUAGGUCUCAGAGAAAUGCUGGGCAGGAAUU